RNAcentral lists this ribosomal RNA (466 nucleotides) under Vreelandella stevensii. RNAcentral's name for it is "partial 16S ribosomal RNA". It matches the Rfam family "Bacterial small subunit ribosomal RNA", at positions 338 to 795 of the family's 1533-position model. The record is from RNAcentral. Lineage: Bacteria; Pseudomonadati; Pseudomonadota; Gammaproteobacteria; Oceanospirillales; Halomonadaceae.
CCUACGGGGGGCUGCAGUGGGGAAUAUUGGACAAUGGGCGAAAGCCUGAUCCAGCCAUGCCGCGUGUGUGAAGAAGGCCUUCGGGUUGUAAAGCACUUUCAGUGGGGAAGAAAGCCUUGGGGCUAAUACCCUCGAGGAAGGACAUCACCCACAGAAGAAGCACCGGCUAACUCCGUGCCAGCAGCCGCGGUAAUACGGAGGGUGCGAGCGUUAAUCGGAAUUACUGGGCGUAAAGCGCGCGUAGGCGGGUCUUAUAAGCCGGUUGUGAAAGCCCCGGGCUCAACCUGGGAACGGCAUCCGGAACUGUCAGGAGAGAGUGCAGGAGAGGAAGGUAGAAUUCCCGGUGUAGCGGUGAAAUGCGUAGAGAUCGGGAGGAAUACCAGUGGCGAAGGCGGCCUUCUGGACUGACACUGACGCUGAGGUGCGAAAGCGUGGGUAGCAAACAGGAUUAGAUACCCCGGUAGUC